CAACCCAUAUCCAUCUACCUAUCUACACCUAUCAGAGAAAGAGUGCACAAUUGCAUUGUAUUAGACAAUCCUCUGUGAGCGGCACAAAUCUCUCUCCUAUGUUGACAGUUUGUUACAAUGUAUCAAUGCAGAUAAACGUUAUCAGGCUGUUUACAUUUCCUUUGAAUCCUCUGACUUUGCAGAAAGAGGUGGUGGAGUCUCAUCACUGCAGUUUUCCUAACAAGAUCAUCUGGUUAUCUAUAUAUUAACUGCCUAAGCUCUGUCAAUCGGAAAGCGAUGGUGAAAUUGGGAAGGAAAGGUCUGUGCCUGAUGUGAUGUAACCUCAUUUCUGAUUACGAGAUGUUUUGGCUCUAAAAUGCGCGAUCAGAUAGAAGACAAGGUCUCUCUGGAGGUGGAAGCCUUCCAACAUCUACAUGUGUGUGUACUUUACAACGCCUUGGAAGCGGAGGAUUACAACAUGUUUCACCAAGAAUCCCGAAGACAAACCUGUUACAGUCUCAUUCCAGAACCUCUCCGGCAAGGAAAGUAUCAAGAUUCACGAAGACUAAAAAGAGCCACAUUAAGUCAUAAAAAGUCAAUUUGCAUAAUUACCGAAUGGGGGAAAAGCUGAUUUUGGAUUACAACAUGUUUCACCAAGAAUCCCGAAGACAAACCUGUUACAGUCUCAUUCCAGAACCUCUCCGGCAAGGAAAGUAUCAAGAUUCACGAAGACUAAAAAGAGCCACAUUAAGUCAUAAAAAGUCAAUUUGCAUAAUUACCGAAUGGGGGAAAAGCUGAUUUUGGUGAAGUACUAAGUAGCCGAUGAAAACAAACAGAGCCCCUUGUCUGGCUUUGAACCACGGGGUAGGUGAACGCGAUGAGAUCAUACGGACCCAGGUGCAGGAAAGAAAACAAACAUCUUGAGAUUCUCAAUGCGCUCGGCCUGUUUUCUUCCAUACGUCGGAGGUAACUUUAUAAGGUCACAUGACACCGGGGCUCCGAAUAUUUCCUCCUCCUCUGAAUGUAUGGAGUGAUUGGACUCCGGUGGCGGGGGACACGCUGCAGACGCGCUGACACUGAGCAGAUUAAUGGUCCCAGUUAUGGUAUGAUGGGUUUAACACGAUCUAUUCUUGCUGCCCCCGAGUGGCGUUUCCUGUCGGUAAUUUCCACUCCAGCCUCGUUUCCCCUUAACCCUUUACAGAGGAGCAAUGUUGCACGGUUGGUUACGGUGAGAAGCGCGCUUUAACGCCUGCACAUUAGACCUCCCACUUACAUGGAAUUUGACCCCUAUGACAUAUAUUUACGUCACAGGCGGGAAUAGGUUUAACGCAAAAUGACGUAUAUUUUAGGGGUACUCUGGAAGAAAUUAUUUA
Molecule: long non-coding RNA, 1352 nt
Organism: Hyla sarda
Lineage: Eukaryota; Metazoa; Chordata; Amphibia; Anura; Hylidae
Exons: 4
Source: RefSeq, a predicted model, not a curated record